UAAGUAGGGGGCAAGGGUUGUUCGGAUUUACUGGGCGUAAAGGGCGCGUAGGCGGCGCGUAAAGUCGGACAUGAAAUCAUUAGGCUCAACCUAAUGGCUGUGUCCGAUACUUACGCGCUUGGAGUGCGGGAGAGGCAGCCGGAAUUCUCGGUGUAGCGGUGAAAUGCGUAGAUAUCGAGAGGAACACCGGUGACGAAGGUGGGUUGCUGGACCGACACUGACGCUGAGGCGCGAAAGCUAGGGGAGAAAACGGG
Molecule: ribosomal RNA, 254 nt
Filed under: uncultured bacterium
Lineage: Bacteria
Description: partial 16S ribosomal RNA
Rfam family: Bacterial small subunit ribosomal RNA
Source: RNAcentral